GUGUCAGCAGCCGCGGUAAUACGAAGGGGGCUAGCGUUGUUCGGAAUUACUGGGCGUAAAGGGCGUGUAGGCGGCCCGUUAAGGCAGGUGUGAAAUUCCUGGGCUCAACCCAGGACGUGCGCCUGUGACUGGCGGGCUUGAGUCCGGGAGAGGAUGGUGGAACUCCCAGUGUAGAGGUGAAAUUCGUAGAUAUUGGGAAGAACACCCGUGGCGAAGGCGGCCAUCUGGACCGGUACUGACGCUAAGGCGCGACAGCGUGGGGAGCAAACAGGAUUAGAUACCCUGGUAGUCCACGCCGUAAACGAUGAGUGCUAGACGUUGGGAAGCCUAGCUUUUCAGUGUCGCAGCUAACGCAUUAAGCACUCCGCCUGGGGAGUACGGUCGCAAGAUUAAAACUUAAAGGAAUUGACUGGG
Molecule: ribosomal RNA, 414 nt
Filed under: uncultured prokaryote
Description: bacterial SSU rRNA
Rfam family: Bacterial small subunit ribosomal RNA
Source: RNAcentral